UAGAUUAAAUAGAAUUUUCUGAUUGAUCGAAUGAUGUGGCACUGCGCAGCAUACAGGGUCUAUAAAAUCCCUGUCUGUGCCUAGGGUUUAAGGGUUUCUACUCAAUACCCAGUCAAAACGAGAAUCCUCUCCUCUUCUCCAUGUCCUCCCUGCUCUCCUCUCUCCCCUCUUCACGUCCAAGGAGUUGGAUGUCCAUCUGGCAAAGGUCCAAGGCGUGGUGACGCCUGGAACAGGAAGGUGCAGGACAUCUUUGACAGGCUGCUGCUCCAACUUCAAAAGAAGUUCUGAAGCACUUCUAAAUUAGAUAGAGAUCUAAUUUUUGGAGCAUAGAUUCGUGAGGAGAAGACAUUCUAGGUCCUGCCUGAGUGGAUACCGAUAGAGGCCAGAUGCUUGCGUGGCUAC
RNAcentral lists this long non-coding RNA (402 nucleotides) under Elaeis guineensis (African oil palm). RNAcentral describes it as "long non-coding RNA (EGUI_LNC079345)". Lineage: Eukaryota; Viridiplantae; Streptophyta; Magnoliopsida; Arecales; Arecaceae. The record is from RNAcentral.